AACGAACGCUGGCGGCAGGCCUAACACAUACAAGUCGAACGCCCCGCAAGGGGAGUGGCGCACGGGUGAGUAACGCGUGGGAAUAUGCCCUUCGGUUCGGAAUAACACAGGGAAACUUGUGCUAAUACCGGAUACGAUCUACGGAUGAAAGAUUUAUCGCCGAGGGAGCAGCCCGCGUAGGAUUAGCUAGUUGGUGAGGUAAUGGCUCACCAAGGCGACGAUCCUUAGCUGGUCUGAGAGGAUGAUCAGCCACACUGGGACUGAGACACGGCCCAGACUCCUACGGGAGGCAGCAGUGGGGAAUAUUGGACAAUGGGCGAAAGCCUGAUCCAGCCAUGCCGCGUGAGUGAUGAAGGCCUUAGGGUUGUAAAGCUCUUUCGCCAGGGAAGAUAAUGACGGUACCGGCAUAAGAAGCACCGGCUAACUACGUGCCAGCCGCCGCGGUAA
This 447-nucleotide ribosomal RNA is filed under the name uncultured bacterium. RNAcentral describes it as "partial 16S ribosomal RNA". It matches the Rfam family "Bacterial small subunit ribosomal RNA", at positions 29 to 523 of the family's 1533-position model. The record is from RNAcentral.